Molecule: long non-coding RNA, 326 nt
Filed under: Theobroma cacao (cacao)
Lineage: Eukaryota; Viridiplantae; Streptophyta; Magnoliopsida; Malvales; Malvaceae
Description: long non-coding RNA (TCAC_LNC004075)
Source: RNAcentral
AUCCCCUUUGAAAAUGGCACAAAACUUGGUAUAUUUUCUUUGUGGCAAAACUGCAAAAAUCUUUACCAGAAUUCCCCCCCCAAUAAAAAAAAGACAGACAAAGAAAAACAGAAAAAGCAGACUUGUUCAAAAAUAGCACAAGAUGGGUGAGCCUCUAUUAUUGAAGGUCUGGACAUAAUAUCCCUCCUAUAUAUAGUCACUUUCAGAAUGCUGAUGUUUUGGAUCUUGUAAACAGGGAUCGGACGGCUACAAUUAUUAUCUGGGUAACGUUUGGUUUUCAUGCAGCAUACAUAGGAACUUCGAAGAAAAUGCUUUCUCUAGACACG